Molecule: long non-coding RNA, 1271 nt
Filed under: Marmota monax (woodchuck)
Lineage: Eukaryota; Metazoa; Chordata; Mammalia; Rodentia; Sciuridae
Source: RNAcentral
GGGGAGGUGCCCGUAGCUGCCCUACCCCGGGCACCCUGUGCUGCUGGUCCCUGGGCAGGGCUCGCUUGGCUGUUCAUGCUUCUUCCUGGCUUGGAAAAAAAGGCGGCAAAUGGAAGGGGAGAGCCUUUCUCUGCUACCUGAGAGGCGACAUUCUGGAACUCUCCACCUGGCCUCCGGUAGACAGCUUGUGGGUGACGGCCCACCUAGACGCUCCUUGAGGGAGCAGGUGUGUGGGGCUUGUGCGGACUGAAUGGAGGCCCCUAAUGGAAGAGACCCUAACCCUGGAACCUGCGAUCAUCGCCUCAUAUGAUAAGGGUUUUGCAGCUGUGAUUAAAUUAAGGGGUGAUAAGAGACGAUGCUGGAUUAUCUGGGUGUCUGUACCCACCGCAGUGUCCCCAUGAGAGGCAGGGAGUCUGUGUGCCCAGGAGGUGGUGUGACCUCUCCAAGGCAGGGGACACCGGAAGCCCCAGAAGCUGGAGGCAGCAAGGGAUAGGGCAGCCAGGUCUCCUGACCCCUUGAUUUCAGAAUCACUUGCUGAUUUUGAUGUGGGCCACCUGGCCUGCAGAAAUGCCACAGAACGGUCUGUGGUCUUGGGCACCAUGUUUGAGAAUCUGUCCCAGGAGCCAUAGCAAAUGCAUCCAUGGCUCGAUCCUCAGCCCAGUGGAAGCCAGCCCUCCCUUGACCCUCCAAGAGCCCUCUACAGGCAGGAGUGCUGUGGACACAGCAGCUUGUCCUGUUUCUUUGUCUUGUCUGGUUUGGUUUCAGGGAUUGAACUCAGGGGCCCUGGACCUCUGAGCCUCACCCCCACCCUGUUUUGUAUUCUAUUAGAGACAGGCUGUCACUGAGUUGCUGAGCGCCUCACUAUUGCUGAGGCUGGCUUUGAACUCACGACCCCCCUGCCUCAGCCUCCCGAGCCCCUGAGAUGACAGGCGUGGGCCACCGUGCUGGGCUAGCAGCUUGUUCUGUUUGUGGGGAUGAUGGAGGAAGAAAUCACGCGUGUUACUCAGAGAAUGUGUGGUGGGUUUUUGGCAUAUAAAAAUGGGCAGUGAGAAUGUCAGCUGAAAAUGUUAACCAAGAGCUGGAGCCUGACCCCCCACACACACACAGGCCGGGAGUUCUCUGCAACGUUAAGUUAAAACCACUCUCCAGGCAGGGAGCCCCCGUCACCUCGAGGUUCCCCAGCGUCUUCUAGGCCCGUUUUCUUAUUGCCCAGACCUGUUAGUGUGGGCCACCUUUUUUUUAUAAUUAAAAAGGAAAUGAGAAGAAAAGAG